Molecule: ribosomal RNA, 467 nt
Filed under: uncultured bacterium
Lineage: Bacteria
Description: partial 16S ribosomal RNA
Rfam family: Bacterial small subunit ribosomal RNA
Source: RNAcentral
GACGAACGCUGGCGGCGUGCUUAACACAUGCAAGUCGAACGGAAAGGCCUCUUUCGGGGGGUACUCGAGUGGCGAACGGGUGAGUAACACGUGAGUAACCUGCCCUUGACUUUGGGAUAACUUCAGGAAACUGGGGCUAAUACCGGAUAGGAGCUCCUGCUGCAUGGUGGGGGUUGGAAAGUUUCGGCGGUUGGGGAUGGACUCGCGGCUUAUCAGCUUGUUGGUGGGGUAGUGGCUUACCAAGGCUUUGACGGGUAGCCGGCCUGAGAGGGUGACCGGCCACAUUGGGACUGAGAUACGGACCAGACUCCUACGGGAGGCAGCAGUGGGGAAUAUUGCACAAUGGGUGGAAGCCUGAUGCAGCAACGCCGUGUGCGGGAUGACGGCCUUCGGGUUGUAAACCACUUUCGCUCAUGACGAAGCUUUGUGUGACGGUAGUGGGUAAAGAAGCACCGGCUAACUACGUG